Molecule: long non-coding RNA, 836 nt
Organism: Ornithodoros turicata
Lineage: Eukaryota; Metazoa; Arthropoda; Arachnida; Ixodida; Argasidae
Exons: 4
Source: RefSeq, a predicted model, not a curated record
GCCUACGAACAGUGGCGCAGAAGUUGACAAGCCCGGUGAAGAAUGUUAAUGGAGUUGUGUUUGCGCAGAAGUAACGCGAUCCUUUGCUGUGUGCGGCCUCUUAGACCCGCUCUGUGAUGUCUUUAGUCAUACCUGUCAAGCCCGGAGUGAACCGUCGUUGCUCCCAACCCGAAGCCUUUACUAAACGAACGUAUACGUGGCGGAACAGUUUCGCUUGGUCAUGAUCAUCACCGCACGCCGUACUGUCCGAUCCAGGCGACGGCCCCAACAACACUUUCCCUCUUCCGUGGAGUUCUGCCUUGAAGCACGCCUGUGUUGCCCCUGGAGGUCCUUCAAGUAGGUCCAUCAGGGCCCACACACCACACAAUACGCCGUUGUUUUGCAGAAUAUCCAGACAAAACAAACAGUGGAAACACCAGACCAUCUGACAGAUUCUCCUUGGUACCAGACAAGACGUCCGUAUCAGCGUCUAGACCAAUGCCCAGGGAAAGCACACAGAGAGCACAGUCGAUGACAAGAUUGGAGCUUGGCGGUCACACCCCGGACUUGGUGCGGAGGAUGGUUAUCGUAACAGCUCGGCCAACGUCUUCGUCGCAUCUAGUCACACGUAAGUAUUUUACCGGUCAAAGUUAGCUUCAGGACGGUCGUUACGAAGAAGACGCAGAAGACCAACUGCAACAGUUCACCCCCUAGUGAUACGGUUUUACGUGCACUGCCAUGCUUUCCUGGAAACUGUGACGAUCGCGUCCCUUCCUUAGUUUGUGCGCACCCAUUAACCGGUUGACGAAUGCAAACCGGAAACCGUGCACUUUUUAGUGCUUCCGGUAUCCCUACGG